RNAcentral lists this ribosomal RNA (443 nucleotides) under uncultured bacterium. Its description in RNAcentral is "partial 16S ribosomal RNA". It matches the Rfam family "Bacterial small subunit ribosomal RNA", at positions 338 to 795 of the family's 1533-position model. The record is from RNAcentral.
CCUACGGGAGGCAGCAGUGGGGAAUAUUGGGCAAUGGGCGCAAGCCUGACCCAGCAACGCCGCGUGAAGGAAGAAGGCUCUCGGGUUGUAAACUUCUUUUUUCAGGGACGUAGAACGUGACGGUACCUGAGGAAUAAGCCACGGCUAACUACGUGCCAGCAGCCGCGGUAAUACGUAGGUGGCAAGCGUUAUCCGGAUUCAUUGGGUGUAAAGGGAGUGUAGGUGGGAGCGGAAGUCAGAUGUGAAAACUCAGGGCUCAACCCUGAGACUGCAUUUGAAACUGGGUUUCUUGAGUGCUGGAGAGGCAAUCGGAAUUCCGGGUGUAGCGGUGAAAUGCGUAGAUAUACGGAGGAACACCAGUGGCGAAGGCAGAUUGCUGGACAGUAACUGACGCUGAGGCGCGAAAGCGUGGGGAGCAAACAGGAUUAGAUACCCGUGUAGUC